Rhinopithecus roxellana (golden snub-nosed monkey) is the source of this 4047-nucleotide RNA transcript. RefSeq lists it as uncharacterized. NCBI's taxonomy places the organism in Eukaryota, Metazoa, Chordata, Mammalia, Primates, Cercopithecidae. The transcript is spliced from 2 exons. The record is from RefSeq and is a predicted model, not a curated record.
CUAUGCUUGGUUGGGGCUGAGGUCACCAAGAGUCCUCUCAGAGGGACGUUACUACACGCGCUGGCGAAGCCCAGGAGAAUUUAGAGUCGCGGUGCGAGAAUUACUAUCUGUGAAACGAGGGCUGCCUUUUCGAGCAGCCAGCUUUGUGCAGAGACGUCCCGGAGCCACGAGAGACUAACGGCUAACCCGAGGGAGGGGGUAGCGAGGGUGAUUCCAGGCACUUUGUGGAGAGACGAGCUAUGGCUAAGGAAGAAUCCACUUUGAAGAGCAACCCCCGCCCCUGCCCGAUACGUUACUUCCGGGGCGGGGCGGGCAGAGGGGCCCGGAUGUGCCGCCGUUUUUUUUCUUUACUGAGGCGCCGGCGGUGUUCUUGGUCGCGUCAGCCUGCUGGCUUUUCGCUUUCCUGGACGCUUCAGGGCUCCGCGGCCUGCGCUGGACUGGAGGGUCCGCGUCACUCUCGCCCUCCUGCUUUCCGCGCUCUGACCCACUCCCGCCUCCUGAGGGUACGACUUGGAGGAGCGCGGGCGGCGGGGCGUGAGCGAGCAGCCUCUGCCGCCAUCUUAGAGAAGGCGAGCGUGGGGUGCGCGUGGGCGCGAGCCGGCCUCCCGCGGUCCCGCCGCAGAGUGGCGCGGAGAGGUGAGGUCCAAGCGUGUCCGGCCCUCACUCCAGAACGAAAAGGCGAGGUCAUCACUCCCUGCUUACAGGGCUGGGAGUAAGUGCCUGUAGAGAGCAAGAAAUUGCCCUGCCCAUAGGCUGAGAAAACGCAUUUGGCGAGUCCUCUCGACGGAGGACGUAGAGGGGCGGGGUAACUUACACCUGCCUGCGACACCAUCCUGUUAGUUUCUAGUUCUAUUAGUUUAAGCCCUUACGUGCUUAUCCCUCUUUAAAGACUGAACCGGGGCUUGAGCUCAAGCCUGGAUCCUGUUACCUACCUUGCCCUCAGCCCCACUUACUCAGCCUACUGUAGCUGAGGGUCUUGCUGUUUCCGGCUGAAUUGAGAUAGACGAAUGGCUUCCGUCUGUGUUGAAUGUUGUUAACACAACCUGCCAUCUCAAAACACCCGUUGAUAAGGCACAGCCUCUAAUGCCUAAUGGUUCGAACAGACUCCUCCAGUUCUCUGCAGACUCGAGUCCAGCAGGCACAUGCCCCCAGGCCCUGCCAAUACCCAGAAUCUCCCAACAUUUGCCACUAAGCUGCUUAUCCAAGACAAUGACAUAUUGGAAGCAGAGCCUUAGGAAGUCAGUUCUCCUCUUGAGGCUUAAUUUUUGCACCUGCAAAUAAGGGAUUUGGGCCGGCAUGAGUUCACCAGCGCUAAAAUAAUACUGAGCUCAUUCUGUGUCCCAGAACUGGUGCGAAGUGUUUUACAUACGUUAUCUCAUGUAAUCCCAACAACACCAGUGCUAGGUAAUAUUCGCAUUUGAGGAAAAACAGGCACAGAGUCCUAAAAGUCCGUGGUUUUAGUUUAUGGCUGCGUGCCAUGGAAUACAAGGUUACCGUGUUUUGGGAACCAGCUAGUUUGGGUACAUUUUAAAAAGUAAUAUUGUUGCCUUUGAUAAUCUCAUGAGUUAGAGAUGUUCUUACAAUAAUAAUGUGUUGCAGUAGUGAACAGUGGUGAGCCUAGUGCUAAAGCUAAAAGGUUUCCUGACCCACUGUGGUAGUAAGGGUUUCUAGUCAGACAAAUGACUGUGGUGACCAAUGUGGGUCCCAUUGUACAUACAGAUGGGAAAUGAGGUAUAUAUUCCAGCUUUAUGAAAACUGGUAGUCAUUAUGAAUAUUCACUUUAUUACAUUUACUGAUAAAGUCUUCAUUCCUAUAAUGGUGUGUAGGGCUUUAUGCUCACACUACAUGGCUCUCUGAAUCGCUUUGUUUUUUAAGUUCCAUUGUCUGUUACAGUUUGCCUGUCCCUUCUUUCAUUGUCAGCUGUUGCUUUUUACUGCUGUCAGUGAACAUAGUUCUAUUAUCCUCACCACCCUUUUAAUUUACUACUCUUAAUCUACAGGCAAGAAAACCACAUAGUGAAGCUUGUGCAAAACUGUAUCUCAAGAGUAUAAAUAGUUACUUUGAGGGACUAUUAAAAAAUAAGUGCAACCCUUGUGCUAGAACAUUAUAAAAUUAGUUUUAAGCUGCCUAAUUUUUUUUUUUUAAUGCCUUACAGGUUUGGUCUUUUCCAGAAUUAGGAAUAGAUACAUUUCCUGAAGUUAAUUCUUGAAACUUUAGAAUUUAAAAUAUUUUCCCAUGUUUUAGGAUACUUGAUGAUGAUACAAUUCUAGCCAUAUUGAGGUUAAUAUUUGAAGUGUUCAGUGUUACUGCCUGAUAGGGUUUGGCUUUGUGUCCCCACCCAGCUCUCAUGUCAAAUCGUAAUCUGCAUGUGUUGAAGGAGGGGCCCCGUGGGAGAUGAUUGGGUCCUGGGGGCAGUUUCUGAUGGUUUAGCACCAUCCCACUAGUGCUGUUUCAUGAAUGAGUUCUCAAGAGAUCUGGUUGUUUAAAAGUAUUUAUCACUACCCCUCUCUCACCUGCCACAAUAUGAAGAAAGUCCUUGUACCCUUCACCUUCCGCCAUGAUCGAAAGUUUCCCUGAGGCCUCCCAGUCAUGCUUACUCUUAAGCCUGCAGAACUGUGAGUCAGAAUGAUUGGAAGAGACAUGGAAUAACACAUUUGUAUCUGAACUACUUGAAGAGAAAUCUGAAGCCCUGAUUAUAUAUAUAGAUUAUGCAUUUCGUAAGUUACUUUUAACACAUUCGUAGUGGUACAUUUUCUUUUCUGUAUUAUCUAUUAGGGUGUUUUUGCCUAUUCAUAUCCACUGCAUAUUCAAGGACUUAAUAAGUGUUUUCAUUGUUAAUAAUUUAAAAAAGAAAGGAUGCAUAUGAAAAGAUAAAAUACUGCUAUGUGAUAGGCUUGCUUCUGAAAAAUAUCAGAGUUUUGAAAAGUAAUAUAGUCUGUGGCACCUUAUUGUUGAAUUUGUGAUGAAUAUUUUUAAUAAGAGAGAAAUCACACCUGUUUUAAAUUUUUUCAUUUGAUUAUAUCCUAUUUUCUUCAAUUGAGAGAGAGAGAUGUAGAGUCUUGGAUUCUCUUAUAUAAAAUGUAUUGUUUCAUUUCUACCAGUAUUUAUUGAGCACUUAUGUAGAAUACUGGAUAAUUAUAUUACUGGAUUACUAAUUGCCUUUACUAGAUCUGAAAUUCUGUGGAUAUGUGAUAAUUAUUAAAAAAUGACAGAGAGUGAUAGGGGCCAAGAUAAUUCAAAACUGAACAUAAUUUGCCACCAUUCUCUGGAGCACCCUCAAGCCUACCUAUCCCCACCUAAAGUAUGUUUUGGUUUUGAAAACAGUGCAAUAAUAUUUUCUGCUAGAUUUGUCUUUCUUUGUUUUCUUUAAGUAAUACAAACCAGCUGAUUACUCAGCAGUUCUGAAGAGUGUGUGUAGAGUGUGUAUGCCUAUGUGUACACACGUUUGUGUUCAUCUGUGUGUCUUGGAAUUACAUUUUUACUCCAACACAGAAAGAUGAUAAUGGAAUCAUAAGUUGACUACCUUUGCUUAACACCAAAGUAAAUUACCUUUUGAUGUACACAUGCAGCUUUAAAAGAAAUAGUCUGGGGCCAGGCGCGGUGGCUCACGCCUGUAGUCUCAACACUGGGAGGCCGAGGCAAGUGGAUCACCUGAGGUCGGGAGUUUAAGACCAGCCUGACUAACAUGGAGAAACCCCAUCUCUACUAAAAAUACAAAAUUAGCCGGGUAUAGUGGCACAUACCUGUAAUCACAGCUACUUGGGAAGCUGAGGCAGGAGAAUCACUUGAACCUGAGAGGUGGAGGUUGCAGUGAGCCGAGAUCACACCAUUGCACUCCAGCCUGGCCAACAAGAGCAAAACUCCGUCUCAAAAAAAGAAAUAGUCUGGAAACAAUUCAAAUGUGUAUCAAUAGGAGGAUGGGAAAACUGUGGGCCCAGCACAAGGACUAACACCUGUAAUCCCAACACUCUGGGAGGCCAAGCCAUGAGGAUCACUUGAGGCCUGGAGUUUGAGACCAGCCUGAGCAACAUAGCAAGACCCUGUCUU